GGGCAGGGCCGGCGGCGGGACCGCCCGCGGCAGCCAUCUUAGGGCGCUGGGGGGGCUCCGCUGCGGGGGAGAGGCCCCGACGGCCUCGUCCUCGUCCCGGGCCGGCCGGGCAGGGCCGCGGGAGCUCCCGGCACCUCCGUGCACCGCUGGCUGGCGCCGUGCCCUGCCCGCCGGCGGCGUGGAAGCGGCUGUUAAUAAAAAGAGCUGUCCCCCGUGGCGGGGGUUGUCCCCCGUGGGGCCGUGAGAAGGUGCCGCGAGGAGCUGGGGCUGGUCUGUAAUUAAGCACGGAGCGCGGUGGCACGCGUUAAGCACCAUGACCACAUAACGGGCUGUGCUUUGUUGAUAGUUGCGUGUUGAUAGUUGCUUUGGACCAGCAAAUGCCUGUCACAGCCAAGACGUUUUGUCAAAUUCAUCUGAUCUGAACUAACUUUCUGACAGCGCCGCUCCUGCUAGAGUCUCGGCUCAGUGUCUUCCAGAACAGCAAGCGGUGUGUUUUCUGAUCGUCGCUUUUGCGUUUGGCUGUAUCUGAAUUAAAUUGUCUUUAACCACAGAUGAACAUCGAGCAAGCACAUGGAGUUCCAAAUGCUGAUCCUCAGAGAAUCCACGUGUGACAGAAAGGACGGAUGAUCUUUUGACCGAGUUCCAGCACGGUGGAGUCUGCGUGUGGUAGUUUCAGGCCGAUGUACAAAAAGGGUAUAUCCUUAACCAACAUCUACCAUCUUGAAUGUAUGGGAAGGAAAAAACAACAGCGUAGUCGGCUUUUCUGGGCUUUGAGACUGCUUUGUGUCGGUGAUGCAAUGACCAAAGUUCAGCCCAGUGAUUUUGCGAUAAAACCAGUAUGAGUGAGGGGUUGCUUCCCAGAUCCUCUUAAUUUGUUUUGAGAAUUUAGAAUUGCCUGUAAUCAUUGGGUAAACCAACAGUCUUGAACGGACAGCAAUGACGACCGCCUACUUCGAAGUCCCUGGAGGAUUCUAAUUGCAGUGUUGCCUUGUGACUGUGCUGAAUUAAGAAACAGAGCUGAGCUGAAGUUCCCAGACCAAGAGAUGUGAUGGCUACUUUUUUAUGCUUUUUCAUCUAAACAAUAUCCAGCAAUGUCUAAGUCUUUUUGCAUUGUUUAUCAUUUUGAAAAUGUUGGAGGAACCACGGCUGAGUGUUCUCCUGCUCCCACCCAUGCUUUGGGAUGCGAAAGAAUAACAUGAGCACAUAAAGGCCUCCACUUCCUCUUGGCUGCAACUGGACCAUUUUAUUAGGCAAUGCACUGAGCCUGUGAUCAGUCUGAGAGCAGCUGAUGAUGAGCAGCGCCAGGAUACGGUACUGGGCUGCUGAUCAAUUUUGCAUCUUUCAGAAGACUUGAAAAAUUAGCAUCACUCUCAUAAGCCACAGUCUCACCAUGAGGACAUUAGGGCAGCCACAUCUGUACAAAAUACCUUCACCAGCAAUCUUUCACCCUCUGACAAAUCUUUUCUUCUUGAAGACCAGAAAGAUUGUUAUUGAGCUUUCCACAAAGCUGAAAUAACGCUGUGUGUUAAAAAAAUGUUAACAAUUUGAAGAAGUUAUAAAAAUUUAUAAGUUGACUGAAUACUUUGGAAAUUUCUGCAUAUUUUAAUAUAAAUAGCCAUUGCAGCCACUGGGAAUGGACCUGGAGGGCUGUAGCUUUAGUGGGGGCCCCUGGACUGCAUGCUGCGUGCAGUUGGCAUUCUUCACCUGUGCUUCUGAGGUACCUCUUCCAGUUCUGUUUUGUCCAAAAGGAAAACAGGCUGCGCAACUGGGGCCUGCUCUGUGAUGCAAAGUGCAGCAUGAGCCUGUCAUACAGAAGUACCAUUUUACAGAGCACAGACACAGAGAGAAUUAAUGAUGUGCAUAAGUCUGCGUAAGGAAAUAUGUUACAGAACUGAUCUUGGGUUUUCUCAGCUUCUGAUGUUUAGCCACUGGACUGGCUCUCCUCGUGCUCCGCAGCACAGUUACAUUCCUUUCUCGCUGUGGCUCUUGGUCAUCCCAUCCAGCACAGCCAAGGAGGCUGCCACAGAUAACAGCGAUCAGGGAAGAGACUGUCCUCUUGCUGCUCUUGCUCUGUGGUGUAUCUAUCUGUAGACAGCCUGGCUAAUUUAUAAGUCCUGGAAUCAGGAUCCUACAAGGAGUUGUACAGGAUAAACCACUACACAUUCAAAAGAAGACGACCAUCCCGAUAGGAUAUAUCUCAUCCUACUUGAGCUGUCAGAAGGCUAGCGAUCCAGUCCAAGCGAAGUGUAUGGGCUCUCUCUUUCCCUCAUCAGUAAACAAGGAUUCAUCAGUUUAUGAAAAAUAUCUUUUCUCUGGAUAAAAGAGAGCUACUGUGAGUCCUCUUCCACCAUGAUCAAGUUAUUUGCAGUGUAUAAUGUGAAAGACAAGUCUGGAAGUUUUAGAUAUCAUCUUUUGAAGAGAAUGAAACUAGAUUCAGUACAGCUGUCUAUAGUAAGAUUGAGGAGUGGAUGACUAAUGUCGUUGUGACUGGUGCCAUCUAAUUGGCUCAAAAGAAUCUUCUGGUUCUCAUGAUUGGCAUCACUUCCAUCAUGUGCAAGCCAUUGGAGAGCAAAGACCAUCUUUUGAACUGUCAUGCCACCCCCAGCUCUCCAUUGCCUAACCGAGGGUGCAUUGCAAUUGCUGUUCUUACCUACUGUAGUGGUGGAUCAUGGGAAAAAGCUUGCUCAGAGAGCCUCAUUCUGGAUGGGCCUGAUGGGGAGAGAUGGCACUCAGGUGAUGAAGAAAUACUCCACAUUAUUCACCAGCCUAGCGAGAAGGCGGCUUUGUGCUCAUUUUGAAAGAGGCCAGUGCAAAAGUUAGCUAGAAGUUCCAUCAAGAAGACCCUUAUUGACCACGUUUUCUCCUUGCAUCCUGCGUUGCAGAAUGGUUGGUUGUACACCUGCCUUUGUGAAGUCAGCUGGAGCUCAAAAGUUGGUUGUUCUGAGCUUGGAGACCACAUUCAGACCAAAGCUAAUCUGCAUGUUUUUGCUGUAGUUUUGGCAGCAAUUCACCAUUCUGUGCUUACCAUAUGGAGAAAAGGGUUGGGUGUACCUGGGACUAUUUGGCUAUUUGGAGACUGCACUGUGGGCUCCCUUUUUGCAGGGUUCAGUCCUGCUCCAGUUAAAUUGAGGAAAGUUAAGCCCUUGUCCACAUUUGGGGCUAGCUCCAGUCUGCCUACCUGUUAGAUGUAAACACUGCUGCUGUCCCCACAACCCUGCCUGACAGUGCCUCUCUUGGUAACCUCACCAGCUCUGUCUCCAAACUCUCUUCUACCCUUAGCCUACCUGGUUUACCCAGCCCUGUUUGCUGCCCUUCCUUGCCAUCUCUAAUCACAAAUAACAUCGAUGCACAGCAGUGAAUAAAUACUUCUUUAUAGAGAAAAGGAAAGCUGUCUCUGAUGUGCCGUCCGUUGCCUGAUGGAUUUGCUGAUCUGUUGCCGGUUCUUUUCAUUUCUUAGAUUACUGCUCCUCAGGACAAGGACUGUGUCUUUUGUGCCUGUGCACCUCCACCAGGUGGAGGAUACAGACUUGAGCCUGCAGGGAGCAGAGAGCUCAGUUCCUGUAGAUGCUCCUUGGGACUGGCCUUCACAGCUGUAGGACUCAGCAGCCCAUGGCAGCCAGCCAAGUUGAAUGAAAAGCAUGUGUCUUUUGAAGAACAGUGACUGAAAGAAAUACUGAUGACUGCUGGGACAUCUACAGAAAAGGAUAAGAAAAUUACUCUACUACAACAGGGGCUCUGUUAACUCUUUCUUGUAGGUUGUAUAUAUUAAUAGCAACAACUAAAGUUUUGUAUUUUUGCAGGGAAACACACAAGGCUCUGAAUUGUAUUGUUUUAAUUGCAGCUAACUGAAUGAAUUAAGUGGAAAAUCGCACACAGUGCUUUGAUUGUCUAACUCUCUGUAUGUGAGGCUUUGGGAACAGUUUGUUAUUAUAAAAGAACAGCACUAACAAGAAAUCAGCCAACAUAUAAUUGCUAGGCUGAGGGACAGUUUGGGGAAAGCUGAUAUUUAUUUAUAAAUUAUUAAAUAAAAGAACAUAAUAGGUGGAUCAUCUCUUACUGCCUCCACACUUCAGAUAUUACUCAUCUUCCUAAGCUCUGUGUUCUCCAGGACGUUGCUUCUUAUAACUAAUCCAGGAGUUGAAACCACCCACAUCCAGGAAAGGAGAUGCCUGUGCAUUUGUUAUGAUGGCAGUUUUAGUUAUGGGACUCACCUAAGAACAUGAAUCUGCAGUUCAAGGAAAGGACUCGACCAGAGAGGUGCUUUAUGUGCCUAAAAUACACAUGAGCACCUGGGACCCUAUUUACGUAGCCUAAAUUCUGGUCAGUGUUUCCUACUUGACAAUCAUCUAUCCAAUAUCCUAAAUAGAAGGGCUUAAGAGCAGUUUAGGCACUCAAUUUAGUGGGGUUCUCAAAAGCAUUAGAUAUAUUAUUUCCAUACAUUUUUGAAGGAAUGAUGCUACUUCUGUUUGUCUCUUGUUCUUUGCUCCACCUGUUUAGUGCUAUAUGACCCUAGAACCACAGCCACUUUGCAAGACAGAGAGGAGGAAGAUGGUGGUUGGACUCACCAAGAGGGUGGAACAGUAUUUCAUCAUUGUUUUAGCUACCGAAUAUCUGCUCUAGCUUUUCUCAGGGAUGGAGCUGCAGUGCCUUCCUCCAGGAUAGACUUGUGGUCUUUUCUCCAGGAGGGCAAAGAAAGAAGUGGACAACAUUCAAACAUGUAACCUGUGUGGUGGAAGCAUGAGGACAACUUUGAAUGCACAGUGAACUCCAAGAUGUGUGGCAGCUACAGAUAAGCUUAAAAAAUUCUGUUGUGUAUCGAUGUUACUGCGGAAAACACAGAGCUGAGAGGCAGAUCAGUGGUGCUCAGGAAGGGUGUUACCAUGGGAUGUGCCUCCCAACCUGCGCGCAGUCGGGGAGCUGUGGUGCUGCGCAGAGGCACCCGCACUAGCCAGGAGGUUGGUGCUUGCCAGGCAGCCCAUUUCCUGUGGGCUGUGCAGCAUCCAGGCUGACCCUGCUGCAGUCCAACCUAACCUGGGGCCAGCUCAAGACCUCCCAGCUCUGUGAGCUGUACGCUCAUAGAGGAGGAUCAGAUGGCCUCUUGGAUGCUUGCUGCCCUCCUUCCCAGACACACCUGCUCUCUGAUCCUUUUCCUCACUUUUCUUUAUAGAGAAACUCUUGUGUUGUAGAUCUAUAAACUGCCAGUGUAUGAGGGCUAAAGGUGUUCUGCAUUUUUGGCAUUUAAAUUAUUGAUAGUGUCCUAGAGCAAAAAGCGUGUGUCUUGUUUUGGUGCUGCUCAUGGGCAGGACAAAAUGAGGAAAACCUGAGGGACACCAAGGAGCAGUGUACGGCAGGGAGGAAACCCACUCCCCUGCCCACCUUUGGAUUUAUCCCGAGGAAUGGAGGCUUUGCAGUUCAUACAGGCAGUGCCUUCCCUCAGCCCUGCAAAACUAAAGAUAAAUGCUAAUGGCAGAAGCCUCUCUCAGUAUGAAUGGGCAAACAUCAGCCCCUGAAAAAUGUGCUUGCUGUUUUAGUUAAAAACAAACAAAUCAGUUCUUGUGCUUUUGAGAAUUUAAACUUCCCUAAGUAAGCAAUAGAUUUUUCAGAAGAAAAAAAUUUUACUAGGAGGCAAUCCAGUAAGUCACAUUAAGAAUAGGCAGGAGCCCUAGGAGGCCCAGAUUCAAAUCUUAGAUUUGUCAGCAUUUCCCAAUAUAUUCCUGGAAAAAUCAGCUAAAUCAUUUAUAAGACAAGAAUAAUCUUUCAGUGUAGUCAGUGUACUUUUCUGAUAAACCCAGAGUGAUGACAGGCUUGUUACAGCAGGAAUAAAAUUCACCUUGCUGCUGGGGUACUGUGGUAACUAAUUAGGUAAAACGUUUUCUUAGCCUUUCUGAACAAGGGGACAGGUGGGUGCUGUCAGUUCCCUGGCUGUCCAAAAUCACUGAGUGCUGUAUCAUGUCUUGAAAGAAGUAAUAGCUGGACUGACCCUGGAACUUAUUUGCAUUGAGGGAAAGGACAGUGCUGUCCUCGUUCUUAAUUUAUCAGUCCUCACUGAACCGAGAGCUGACUAAGGAUCUGACUAAGAAGUGCUCAUGCUGUACGGUGAGAUUUUGGUUACUGUGGAGGCUUUCUCCUUGCCAGGCUAAACUAGAUGCUGGAAGUAAAGAAUAGGGAAGGUCCCAAAGAGGCACUUCUCUUAAAAGAAACAAAAACAAUUUUUUUUUUCAGUUUGUGUGUGACAGUGAGGCAGCCUUGGUUAGCAUUGGUUUUGUGGAAACCUCUGCAGUUGAUCAAGACAGGAGAUGAGUAAGAUCGUGCUCGCUCAUGAAAGCACCUUCUUCCAGAGACCACUGCUUGCUCCUGAUCUGCUGCUAAUUAGUCUCCGCCCUGUGAUACUGAGUCAUUAUAUUCUUUGCCCUUUUCCAUGGCUGCUUUUGGUGUGGAAACUGACACAAAUAUUGCUCCCCUGCUGGAAAUCAUCAUGUCAUCUUCAUCGUCAGUACCUGUAAGCCCAGAUGAGAAGGGAAUAAUUUUAUUAUUUUGGAUAAUGAUCUCUGACAGGAAUGCUUUGAAGCUCAGCCAUGCUAUGGUGGUACAGUGCACAUAGCAUCUGACUUGUUUCUGUAAUGUCACAAAUUUUAACUCUUAAAACAGAAAAGCUCUUCAGCAGCCUUUAAAGCUGCUGCCAGGAAAAGGUGGAGGGAUUCUACACUUUAGCUCUUCAGUACUUUGACACCAGUUGCCUCUGUGCUUGACACGAGGUGUAUGCAUUGGUUUCAGCCCUACAACUUCCCUGCAUCCCCUUGCUCUGCGUAUCACUGGAUUAAAUGCUCUAGCCACCUGGUUCAUGUGGCAAAUUUGGUUUUGCUUUGUGUUCCUGACAGAGGAAGAAGGGGACGGGCUCCAAGGGUCACCAGUGUCUUUCACUGGUAUGACUGACUUCCUUCCUGAAUCUCUGCCGGCAUUAUGAGCAUGGGGCUAUUCGGGAGAAUGUGUCCUUCUGCUGAACUGUACUCAGCUGAGGCUGGUUCGGGCUUAGUGCUGUGACUCAGAUGAGCUGGAGAGAGACCCUUGGGACUUAUGGAAGCAAUUAGCUUAAGAUGACUGAGGUGGAAAGUUGCUAGCAUAGUGGGUUACUGCAGCAGAUGUUUGCAGUCAUCCUGUUAUGUCUUAAGCCCUGCAGUGGGACUAGCCUCCUGGCAGAGUCCACUGUGAUGGGCAGUGGCAAAGCAGUAGUGGCUGUGCCCAGGCAAAAGGAGCAAAAUGGAAGUGGGUCAUUAAAAACUUUAAUUAGCAAAUAGUAGGAUGCAGCUAGCAGUUCCAAGUAUCCAUGUCCCGUGCUGUGUUGCUCCUUCCCGUAUCACCUCUGAACCCCCAGUGCCUGCUGUUUUCCUGUCCUCAGCACAGUGGGGCUAGGUGGCUCCUCAUCUUUCUGGCAGAGCUUGUCAGCUCAAAAUUUAUAAUUUGUCCUUAUGGCCAGCACCUGCCUUUGGUUGGCAGCUGGGAAUCCUGUGGGGCUUGAGGUGCUUGGCUUUUGGUGGGGAAUAAAAAUGCAAACAGCCUUGGCUGAGCCUGUCUGCCUGGGCCUGCUGGGUCUGGACAGAGCAGGGAGCGUAGUGGAGCUUGGCUCAGGGCUGAGAGGAGGCUUUGGAGCCCUCUGCACUCAGCAUUCACUGUAUCUGUCAGCAAACCUCUGUUUCGCUUCUUUGCUGUGUUCCUGGGGGAAUUAGGAUGGCUGUGUCAAGUAAUUCCACCCAUUGCAUGUGUACUAUGCUGACAAAACUGAUGUUGACUGUCUGAAAAGGCCACAUUGAUGGUGACAACUGCCAGUGACUCAUUUGAUGGAAGGAUAAGAAGAUCAUAAUAAAACAAUUUUCCUGUGGCACAGCGCUUACAAGAGUUGGAGUAGCCCAAGCACCCAGUAACACCCUGAAGACUGGAGGCUUUUUCUACUUUUUUUUUUCAAAUCUUUCUCUUAAGCAUUUAUUGCAAUAAAAAUAAAGACACAGGAAGAGGAAGAAGAGAACAUCUGAAGUGUUUUAAAAUAAACGUGUCUUUUUUUUGAACAUGCUUGGUGAAACAGUUCUACGGUAACACCAAUAAUUGUGAAAGGGACAAAUCCCCACCACUGAAUAUUUGUUCCCCUUGCAGCAAGCAUUGGUAA
This is a long non-coding RNA of Cygnus olor (mute swan), 8158 nucleotides long. RefSeq lists it as uncharacterized. The transcript has 18 exons. The record is from RefSeq and is a predicted model, not a curated record. NCBI's taxonomy places the organism in Eukaryota, Metazoa, Chordata, Aves, Anseriformes, Anatidae.